This 454-nucleotide ribosomal RNA is filed under the name Terrahaemophilus aromaticivorans. RNAcentral describes it as "bacterial SSU rRNA". It matches the Rfam family "Bacterial small subunit ribosomal RNA", at positions 30 to 478 of the family's 1533-position model. The record is from RNAcentral. Lineage: Bacteria; Pseudomonadati; Pseudomonadota; Gammaproteobacteria; Pasteurellales; Pasteurellaceae.
AUUGAACGCUGGCGGCAGGCUUAACACAUGCAAGUCGAACGGUAACAUAAAGAAGCUUGCUUCUUUGAUGACGAGUGGCGGACGGGUGAGUAAUGCUUGGGAAUCUAGCUUAUGGAGGGGGAUAACUACGGGAAACUGUAGCUAAUACCGCGUAGAAUCGAGAGAUGAAAGUGUGGGACCUUCGGGCCACAUGCCAUAGGAUGAGCCCAAGUGGGAUUAGGUAGUUGGUGAGGUAAAGGCUCACCAAGCCGACGAUCUCUAGCUGGUCUGAGAGGAUGACCAGCCACACUGGGACUGAGACACGGCCCAGACUCCUACGGGAGGCAGCAGUGGGGAAUAUUGCGCAAUGGGGGCAACCCUGACGCAGCCAUGCCGCGUGAAUGAAGAAGGCCUUCGGGUUGUAAAGUUCUUUCGGUAGCGAGGAAGGCAUUUAGUUUAAUAAACUAGGUGAUUG